Molecule: long non-coding RNA, 5524 nt
Filed under: Nicotiana tabacum (common tobacco)
Lineage: Eukaryota; Viridiplantae; Streptophyta; Magnoliopsida; Solanales; Solanaceae
Description: long non-coding RNA (NTAB_LNC013786)
Source: RNAcentral
UCCGGAACACCCUCGCUAUAGACCGUGUCUCGCAAGCUCCAUCGCGAGCUAAACUGCUCGCGCCGCAUGCUCUAUUUCUUGCUCGCGUCGCACAACUCUGUCGCUUCUAGUUUGCUUGUUGCGCCUGACUUUUUCUUACAUUUUUUAUUCUGUUGCUCUGUCUUUCUUCUUUCCGAUUUCACAGCUUCGUUCCACUUUCAAAUCUUGCAUUCUUUCUUUUCAAUUCUUUAUUUCUUCUUUGUCACUUAUUUGCAUUUUGUUUCAUUUGUCUUCUUUCUUCCUCAUUUGUUCUUUUUUUGUCAUCAAAUAAUCAAAGGCCCCUUGUUAUAGUGCAUAAAAUACACAUUAAAUAUUUACUUUGCUUCAAAUUUUGUCUUCAAUAUAACUACACAUAAAAUAAACUCAAUUAAGCACAAAUAUAGUAUAAUUUAGCAUUAAAUUACCAAAAUGUAAGAUAAGUAAUGCACUGAAAAUAUGUAAUUAUAGCCAAACAUCACUACCCCACGCUUAAACUUUGUCCGUCUUCGAGUCAACUAACAAAUCAUACUAUCCUUGAGCACUUUUUUUUUUACAUAAUUGAGGCACACUACACCAAUGACCAUGGUUGAUAGCAACAAUUAAACCUUAGCAUAUGCAAUCACAUACACUUCCCUUUUUCUUAUGCCGACUUCAAAAAUAUUCAAACAAAGACAACAUGUUCAUAACAAUCCUAGCCUCAAAAACCAACUCAAUGUCAUAAUGCACUCAUGGCUUGAACACCCAAUAUCAUAGAGAGAAGUCUAAUAAUGUUACCUAUCCCUCAUGAAACCAUGUGCCCUCAAACUAAGAACAUAAUGCACUCAGCUUGAACAUCCAAUAUCAUAGAGAGAAGUCUAAUAAUGUUACCUAUCCCUCAUGAAACCAUGUGCCCUCAAACUAAGAACAAGAGAGUAAGUUGAAUCCACACAUUCGAAUCUCAUGAUCAAAUAUAAUUUAAGGACUCAUAUAUAUCAAAGAAAAUCUCUCACUCUCACAAAGAAGUCGCAUGCAUGCAAUUGGUACCAUAGGCUUGCCCAUAAUGUAAAUCUCUACUAAUGUAGGCUCAUUUGAUCUAAAAUCAAUUAGUACUUUUUUAUGGUUGUAAUGUGGGCUAAGGGACGAGUAGGAUGUUGUAUAUGGUCAAAAUCAGGUGCCCCCGAUUUAGCAGGCUCGAGACUCCGCACCGAGGGUUGAAUUCGGUAAAGACCGAAGACAGAAUGAGUGGCUCGAAAACCUAAAUGUUCGAGGGUAUUGGAUCCAAGUAUGGCCAAGUUCGAGAUAGAGCCGUUAUGAGUUUGUUACAGAAGGACAAGAUUCUCACCACGUCCCUAAAAUCACGGCAUAAAUUCUAGGAUAGAUUUGUACGAAUCCGUACCAGGCGGUUAUACAGCUAUCCAAAUAAGAUUCCUUACUGUAAAUAGAAAUGUACCUUAUUUAAGGCUCCCCUCCUAUAUAAAGGGGACCCAAUCAUUUUGUAAAGACCAUCUAAUCAUUGGCAAAGAAUAUACUAUCCUGCUUUUCUCUCUUACUGUUCAUAAGCAUUGUCCUUUACAUUUAUUGUUCUUAUUUUAUUGCUCUUAGUUCAUCUCGAGGUCACUAAGCUCGAGGUCACCGCUGCUGAGUAACAUUUGUUUGGUUCACUUAUUCCUUUCAUUUCUACUUUAUAUUUCUUGAUUAUUAAUUAGUACUAAAUCACAUAUCUUUAAAACCACAAAUCAAAUUAAAUUGUUACUCGUAUUUUCGAGGUACACAAUUUGGCGCCCACCUUGGAGCUAAAGAUAAUAGUGAUUAUUUCAUUACUGAUUCUCAAUACACACGUUGUUUUUACACUUUUUCUUGUCAAGAAUUUUUUAUUCUCAAGCCGAAACAUGUCUAGCUCACAACACGCACAUGUUCAUGAUAACGAAGGUCUUGGAGAAAAUAACAUAGGGGUCGGUGUACCACCAAUAAACCCUGGGGAAGUCUUACGAUAAGGAGAGACUUGAAAAACUCAACUAUACUACGACAAACUCUGACACCAACUAAAAGAAUCAAUGCUACUAAACAUGACUAUAAAGUACAAGACAACAAAAAACAGACUCAAUAAAUAAAUAAAUAUAAUCUCCUUAAGCAACUCCUGCAUGCAACGGUUCUGACAAAGAGGGUCCUUGAGCGUCUGUCAUACUCAAUCUCUGGUAAGUAGAUCCACAUUUGUAUGAGAAAAAUAAGACCAAAUAGAGUUAAAGACUUAGAACACUAUGUGAGACAAUAAGACUUCCUAUUGGACACAUGCAAGAUAUGAUUGAGGCUAUUUUGCAAAAUGGCUUAUGCGUCCAAAAGGUGGUUAGAAGUGCAAACUCAACAAAAGUGACCUCUAAGACAUGAAAAAAUUACUUUGCAGAAAUGACCCAUUUUGUAGAAAUGGCCUAUGUGGCCAAAAAAAUGGCUAAGCGUGCAAGUUCAAUAGAAUGGACCUUAAACAGAGAGGACACUUUGUUGUGGACUUAGGACUCUAAGACAUGGGUUAACAACUGCUUUUGCAAAAAUGGCCCCACUUUGCAAGAACGGCCGACGCAGCCUAAAAGUGGCAAGAUAUGCAAAUUCAAGAAGGACGGACCUUAAAAUAAGGAGAUAGCUAAUUGUGGAUUAAAGUCUCUCCAAACACAAUUAAACAAGCCACUUUGCGAAAAUAGCCCUAUUUUGCAAAAAGGCCAAUGUGGCCAAAAGUGGCUAAAGAUGCAAGAUUUGGCUACGACUCUCGAAGCCAAGAACCUAAGACUCACUAAGAAGACUGGACCCUAUGUGGGUUGACUACGUAUCACGCCCCGAAAGACGAGAAUCAGGUAUGCGUAGUUCAGGAAGUUUGGAUACGAGCGAGAAUAAAAAAAUAACUGAUUUGGAGAAAACAUAUUUUUUGUCUUUUUUUUUGAAAAAUGAUGAAACAUGUAAACUAUUUUUGGAUUUUCUUUUCCACUUUUUUUUUGAUUUUUUUUUCCGGAAAAUGAUGGGAAAGUGCAAAAACUUUUUUGGGAUUUUUCAUUUUUUUGUCUUUUUCGUAAAAUAAAUAUGAAAGAAAAACAUAACUGGGCCCUACUUGCUUUAUUUUCACACUUCAUCCUCUUUUCUCUCUCAUUUACUCUCAACCAUCAUUGGUCCGCAAAAUUAUCCUUUUUACCCUUGAAGAAUGGAACAUGUAGCACAUAAGAUACAUCAGGAUGAUCUUUUAUUUUUGGGUACACAUGUCCUAGACGGACCCAACCCUUGUGUUGAGUCCCCAAAGUUAAAUGCACAUGAAGAAAACAACGUUCCUACUGGGAAUUUGGCAUGAGGUUAUGUCAUUCUAGGUUGAAAUCUGGGGGUGUGUUCUAGACAUGGCUUACCCGAGCGGAUAGCUCGAGCCGAGGUGGGGGCAACGUACCGGGAACACGAAAGUCUACCCGGACUUGUUGCUGACCCAAGCCUGUUCUAUUUGGUAUGACUUCUAACAAAAAAAGGGCCACGCAUACGUGUGCACCAUAUUUUUAGAAGACUUAAAAGGGAGGUAUAAGAAGCCAGUUUAAUACAUUUCAAAUAAUAUCAAAGUAGUAAAAUAAGCGGCAUUUAGCACAUUAGGUCCACAAAUACAAUAAUAUCAACAGACAAUAAAGCCAAGCAUAGAUCAUAUUAACAAGCUCGAAUUCUGAACCCUGAACCAGAAGUUUUGGGUUCUUUUCCCCAGUAGAGUCGCCAGAGCUGUCACACCUCCUUUUUCCCGAGGAUGGGGAUAUAAGAGAGUUUUUCUAAUUAAAGUGACAUAAUCGAAAUGGGAUUAUUUAUUAAAUUCAGAGUCGCCACUUGGGAUAAUUUAUAGUGUCCCAGGUCACCAGUUUAUUUUAAAUCCCAAAUCGAGGAAAGUGACUCUAUUCCCGAGUUCUGUAGUUCUAGCACGGACUCUCUAUACUUGGAUCAAUUAAAUUGUCUAAUUACUUAUUAUAGAACCUAUGUGCAUUUUCACUUUACCACUUUCAAUUAAGAAAUUAACCUGAAACGAGUCACGCAUACGUGUACUCAUUUCGUUUGGCGCGUCAAGAAUCAUGUCACACGUACAUGUCCACAAUUAAUCACACUUUAUUAUUAUUAAGAUUAUUUGGCCAAAGUCACGCGAACGUGUACCUUAGUUUUAAGUUUAGAAAAAUCAUAAUUAUAUUAUGCGAACGUAUACAUAAUCACGAUACUAAAUUAAAAGCGCGCUUAAAGGUAUACUAGGUGUUCAUCAUUCUUCCUAAACUUUGAGACUAUUGUAAGGCAUGCAUUAUAGAAUUAGAAUAACAAUUAAAUCAUGAAGAUUAAAAGUUAAGCUAUAAUCUAAAUCCAGCAAACUUUAGCAGAAUAAUACCUUUUUAAUACUAAAGGCAAAUGGAUCCAAAAGUCUCGCUAGUAAUUUUAAUGACAUAAAGACGGACAAAGAUAACAAAAACAAAGCUGCAACUUUAAGUCGGACAUCAUCUAAUCAUUCACCUACCAAAACAGUGACUAAGCCCAACAUACCAUUUUGCUCAUCUUUAGGCCAUUCACUACAGCAUUUUCAGAUGUUAUAGACUUGAGGUUCAAGACGAGUCCAACCUAUAGGCAAUAGAACUAGUAAAUUCUAUUCCAAAAUCAUGCAUAAAUUAGAUUACAAGUACAUACUCCAAAAGAUUGACUACAUAAGCUAUUGAGUCCUCAAAAUGCCACAUUAUGCAAAAGACUUGGAAUCAAAUUCAAGGAAUUCACAAAUCAAUAGGAUAAUUAACAUUGUAUUACUUCAUUUCAAACCAACAGACAAUACAAAAUAAUCAUUUAUAGCAACCAACCAAAAAUAUGACUUGUAACUAUAAUAAGAAUAGAGAUGGACCUUAGGAAGAAUUUUACUUUUGAGCUUUACAGUAGGUGAAUCCAAAGGCAAACAAGAAACCAAUACAGGACCUCGAAGAAGCGAAAUCUUGUCGGACGACACUCGAACCUCGACGGAACUACCAGACAGGGCUUCAGACAGGACCUCAAGCAACAAACUCAAACACUGACAUCUCUAGCGAGAUCUCGAAAUCAAAACAAAAGGGCGGAAAAUACCGGACUCCAAUUGAUAAAAAAGAAUAGCAGAAGCAGCUAUUUGGAGAAUUAUUUGGACUGUGUAAGGGUGUCGGAAACGGUGAUUACGGCGGCAAGAAACAAAACACGAUUUCGUCAGCGUUAAUGGAGGUUGCCGGAAUUUCUCUUUUUCGGUCAGAUCCAGACCUGGACAGAUUUUGACCUUAUUUUUACGCACAAAUCCAAAUGGCGACGCUACUCUAUGGACUCGCUGCUGCUAGUGGUGUUGCUACUCGCCGGUGAUCAAUUCCGGCGAGGAACCAGUUCGAGCGACGAGGCUAAAGGGGAAGGAGAUACUAUCGUCUCUCACUGUUGAGAGGAAAAUGAGAGAGGGAGUUUUUGAGUUUGCGACUGAUGGGAUCUUAGGUUUGCUGUGUGCUGAUGGCUUACGUUAGGUUGUGAAGAAGAUGAAGUUAAGGGG